CCUACGGGAGGCAGCAGUGAGGAAUAUUGGUCAAUGGACGCGAGCCUGAACCAGCCAAGUAGCGUGAAGGAUGACUGCCCUACGGGUUGUAAACUUCUUUUAUAAAGGAAUAAAGUGAGGCACGUGUGCCUUUUUGUAUGUACUUUAUGAAUAAGGAUCGGCUAAGUCGGGCCAGCAGCCGGGGGAAUAACGAGGAACCGAGCGUUAUUCGGAUUUAUUGGGUUUAAAGGGAGCGUAGAUGGGUUGUUAAGUUAGUUGUGAAAAGUUGCGGCUCAACCGUAAAAUUGCAAUUGAUACUGGCAGUCUUGAGUACAGUUGAGGUAGGCGGAAUUCGUGGUGUAGCGGUGAAAUGCUUAGAUAUCACGAAGAACUCCGAUUGCGAAGGCAGCCUACUAAACUGCCACUGACAUUGAUGCUCGAAAGUGUGGGUAUCAAACAGGAUUAGAUACCCGUGUAGUC
RNAcentral lists this ribosomal RNA (459 nucleotides) under uncultured bacterium. RNAcentral's name for it is "partial 16S ribosomal RNA". It matches the Rfam family "Bacterial small subunit ribosomal RNA", at positions 338 to 795 of the family's 1533-position model. The record is from RNAcentral.